CCUAAAGUUAACCGAAAAAGGCAAAGAUCAAUAAGAUUAGAGAAUGCAAAUGAUGUUUAAUCCGCGAAGACUUUACACAUAAUCCAAAGUGAAGAUCUUUUUUACAAGGCAAAAUUAAGUCUAGGACACUGGAAAAAAAGAUGGCUUUUGCCCAAACACACUAAAAAAAUAUGUUUUUGCUCAAACACACUAAACUUUGAUGUUAAUUAGGUGCUGGACCACACAUGGAAAAAACUUGCAAUGAAUAUGUUUAUGAAUCUGAUGCACCACCACCUGCCCCUCCAAAACCAAAAAGAAAACAAGCCAAGAAAAGUGUCACAGUAGUGCCAUCUAGUAGUGCCACUAAUCCAAUACAGGAGCAACCAUCAUUUGAUGAACCAUCUACACCAACAAGAACUAUCACAUCUGUUUCUACUCCAAGCCCUAUGACAAGAAGAUACAAAUGCAACUUCCUAAAUUUUGCCAUGUUGUAUUACUUCUUACUGAAUUUGACAUAUUUUUCUCUAUUUAGUAUAUCAAGAAGGUUGCUGGAGCAAAAUCCAUCUACACCAAGUAGAGCUAUCACUCCUGUGCAAACACCUAGCCCUAUGACAAGGAGGCGAAAAAGGUUGCUGGAAUUUGAAGGCUCCAUAGAGCGUGUUGCAUGUGAAGCACUAUCUCCAGUAGCCUUCAUGGAGAAGGGGAAGGCAAAGAAGUUGAAGGUUGUCAGGUCUAAGAAAGACUAGAGAGUGCCAGAUCACUAGCGUGUAUAGUUUUGGUAGCAUCAAGAUAGCUAAAUAUGGCUCAGAAUCUGUGAUUUUCUUUUGCUAAACCUGCUGAAUCAUUCCCUAUUGCUAAACCAUGUCAUUGGGGUCUAUAUUGUAGCCAAAUAUGGCUAAACGUGCUAUUUGUAUUUGAUUACUGCGUGCUGAAUGGUGAAGAAUAUGGUGAAGUACAUGAUGUUAUCAUGUACUUUUGUCUAUCUAAUAUGUUCAUUUGAAGGGGUAGGGGUAUA
Panicum virgatum (switchgrass) is the source of this 994-nucleotide long non-coding RNA. RefSeq lists it as uncharacterized. The transcript is spliced from 2 exons. NCBI's taxonomy places the organism in Eukaryota, Viridiplantae, Streptophyta, Magnoliopsida, Poales, Poaceae. The record is from RefSeq and is a predicted model, not a curated record.